UUGUCGUUAACUCAUCCUCUUCUGUUUUAGUGUAGUUCUAUUGUACAUUCAAAUUUCUCAGCUUUAUGUUGUAUUUAUUGUAAAACCGUCUUAUUUUUGGUAAAUAAAUUUUACAUUCAUAU
RNAcentral lists this small RNA (122 nucleotides) under Arabidopsis thaliana (thale cress). Its description in RNAcentral is "ATSL290470". The record is from RNAcentral. Lineage: Eukaryota; Viridiplantae; Streptophyta; Magnoliopsida; Brassicales; Brassicaceae.